AGAGACCAAAUGUACAAGCAAGAGCUAUGAUGAUUAUUACAAAAGUCUCCAUCUUCAGCAAAAUCGCUACAUAUAAUCGUCCCCGAUAAUAUGUAUAUAUAGUUUUUUGCUCAGGUUUUCCGGCAGACAUAUAACAUGUUAUGCUUGUAUUGACUUUGACUUUGAUUAUUCAUAUAUUUGAACAUUCAAAGGUUUUCCAUUACGGGUAAAACUUGAGAAGAAGAAGUACCGUAUGAUGCUUGUCUUAAUAAAUAUCUACAUAGUUAUAUCUUUGUCUACAUGUUUUGACUCGGUCAACUAGACUUGAAUUCUAAUUAGCUUUUUCGCUCAUCGGUGUGACAUCGUCCACACGAUCUUGGCCAGAUCAAAACAUGAGAAGAAAAGUGCAUGCAUACAAACACGG
This 403-nucleotide long non-coding RNA is filed under the name Eutrema salsugineum. Its description in RNAcentral is "long non-coding RNA (ESAL_LNC001968)". Lineage: Eukaryota; Viridiplantae; Streptophyta; Magnoliopsida; Brassicales; Brassicaceae. The record is from RNAcentral.